RNAcentral lists this unclassified non-coding RNA (409 nucleotides) under plant metagenome. Its description in RNAcentral is "partial contains small subunit ribosomal RNA, internal transcribed spacer 1, and 5.8S ribosomal RNA". The record is from RNAcentral.
UUUCCGUAUGUGAACCUGCGGAAGGAUCAUUAACACGUUCCAAAACCUGAUCAACCAAUCUGAGAAUAUGUAUUUGCUGAAAUGAAUGACACAUUCAUUUCAGCCCACACAUAUAAAUUAUAUGGAGCUCUUUUGUCUGUUAGUAAUAGUGGGCAAAUGCAGUUUCUCCGUAUAAUUUGUAUGCUUUUUUCACACGCCCUAGAUGAAGUCAUUCUCAUAUAAGAGAGCGACGAAGUCUAUUUUAUAUAUCAAUAUUUUAUCUUAUUGCCUACAUCGUCAUAGAUUUGAAGUGUCGAUCAGCUUUGGUAAUACUCAGCCCGACUGCUACUAUAAUAUUGUUAAUGUAGUCAAUAUAGAACUAAUAUCUAAUUAAUAAGAACAACUCUUAGCAAUGGAUAUCUUGGUUCUC